UAUCACGAUACGCCUGUAGCUCGAUGGA
Molecule: small RNA, 28 nt
Filed under: Bombyx mori (domestic silkworm)
Lineage: Eukaryota; Metazoa; Arthropoda; Insecta; Lepidoptera; Bombycidae
Description: ovarian small RNA-23500
Source: RNAcentral